This 229-nucleotide ribosomal RNA is filed under the name uncultured bacterium. RNAcentral describes it as "partial 16S ribosomal RNA". It matches the Rfam family "Bacterial small subunit ribosomal RNA", at positions 107 to 334 of the family's 1533-position model. The record is from RNAcentral.
UGAGUAACACGUAUCCAACCUGCCGUCUACUCUUGGCCAGCCUUCUGAAAGGAAGAUUAAUCCAAGAUGGCAUCAUGAGUUCACAUGUCCGCAUGAUUAAAGGUAUUUUCCGGUAGACGAUGGGGAUGCGUUCCAUUAGAUAGUAGGCGGGGUAACGGCCCACCUAGUCAACGAUGGAUAGGGGUUCUGAGAGGAAGGUCCUCCACAUUGGAACUGAGACACGGUCCAA